RNAcentral lists this ribosomal RNA (1086 nucleotides) under Triticum aestivum (bread wheat). Its description in RNAcentral is "partial small subunit ribosomal RNA". The record is from RNAcentral. Lineage: Eukaryota; Viridiplantae; Streptophyta; Magnoliopsida; Poales; Poaceae.
AUGUUUCUUAGCUCAUCAGAAAUGGCGACCGGAAGUAAUAGUAGUAGCCAAGAGAGCAAGCAGCCGGGCCCCGAGCUGCCCAAGCAGCUGCCGUUCGAUUUUCUCAAGAAAAUCACCAACGAUUUCGGCCAAGACCGGAAGAUAAGCGACAGCCCCUUCGGCACACUCUACAAGGGGAUUGUGCCGGACGAUGGCAGAGUGAUAGCCGUGAAGAAACUUCAGGAGAACGCACCAAUGCCAGCUGAUAAGCAGUUCAACAAGGAGGUUCAGAAUGUUAUGUCUCUCAAGCAUGAGAACAUAGUGGAGGUCCUUGGGUUCUGCAGCGAAACGCAGAAGAAACUGGUGCAGUUUGAUAAGAGAUACAUCCAGGCAGACAUUACUGAGAGCUUAAUCUGCUAUGAGUAUUUACCUAAUGGGAGCCUUCAGGAGAAUCUUUUUGAGCCCAAAGAGUCCACUAAACAAGAGAUUAGUUGGGACACACGCUUCAAAAUAAUCAAGGGGAUUUGCCAAGGCUUAUUUUUUCUACACAAGUUGGAUAUUCCCAUUGUCCAUAUGGAUUUGAAGCCUGAAAAUAUACUGUUGGAUGCAAAUAUGGUGCCAAAGAUCGCGGAUUUUGCACUCUCAAGGGUCUUUGGCCAAGAACAAACCCGACUGUGCACACAAACAGUUGUCGGAUCAUAUGGGUACAUGGCUCCAGAAUAUCUUUACAGAGGUGAAAUCUCGGCUCAGUCAGACAUAUACAGUUUAGGCCUAGUGAUAAUCGAGAUCGCCACCGGAGAGCAGAAUCCUCGCGAAAAAGACCAACCAUCUGCGAGAAGUUUUGUUGAUAAAGUGCGUAAAGAAUGGACGCUGGAGAACAUAACAUCCAAGUAUUCCUCGUUGGAUCAUGAAAGCCUCCAACAAGUUAAAACAUGCAUUGAUAUUGGGUCAAAAUGUGUUGAGAUUGAUAGAACAAAAAGACCUCGCAUAGAAGAAAUCGUUAACUCGCUCAAAGGACUACAUCCAAGCCAAAGGGUUACCGAGGUCCCCCGUCCGUCUACAACUACCAAGAAGACAAUUAGCUCCUUUUUUGGUCAUAAGAAAUGA